ACUAACAAGGAUUCCCCUAGUAACUGCGAGUGAAGCGGGAAAAGCUCAAAUUUAAAAUCUGGCGGUCUCUGGCCGUCCGAGUUGUAGUCUGGAGAAGUGCUUUCCGCGCUGGACCGUGUAUAAGUCUCUUGGAACAGAGCGUCAUAGAGGGUGAGAAUCCCGUCUUUGACACGGACUACCAGUGCUUUGUGAUGCGCUCUCAAAGAGUCGAGUUGUUUGGGAAUGCAGCUCAAAAYGGGUGGUGAAUUCCAUCUAAAGCUAAAUAUUGGCGAGAGACCGAUAGCGAACAAGUACCGUGAGGGAAAGAUGAAAAGCACUUUGGAAAGAGAGUUAAACAGUACGUGAAAUUGCUGAAAGGGAAACGCUUGAAGUCAGUCGCGUUGUCCGGAACUCAGCCUUGCUUUUGCUUGGUGCACUUUCCGGAUGASGGGUCAGCNUCNNUUUUNACCGUCGGAAAAGGGCUGGARNAAUGKGGCACCUCCGGGUGUGUUAUAGACUCUGGUCGCAUACGGCGGUUGGGAUCGAGGAACGCAGCGCGCCGCAAGGCAGGGGUUCGCCCACUUUCGCGCUUAGGAUGCUGGCAUAAUGGCUUUAAACGACCCGUCUUGAAACACGGACCAAGGAGUCUAACAUACCUGCAAGUGUUUGGGUGGUAAACCCGAGCGCGUAAUGAAAGUGAAAGUUGAGAUCCCUGUCGUGGGGAGCAUCGACGCCCGGACCAGACGUUCUCUGACGGAUCCGCGGUAGAGCAUGUAUGUUGGGACCCGAAAGAUGGUGAACUAUGCCUGAAUAGGGUGAAGCCAGAGGAAACUCUGGUGGAGGCUCGUAGCGAUUCUGACGUGCAAAUCGAUCGUCAAAUUUGGGUAUAGGGGCGAAAGACUAAUCGAACCAUCU
Molecule: ribosomal RNA, 894 nt
Filed under: Ganoderma adspersum
Lineage: Eukaryota; Fungi; Basidiomycota; Agaricomycetes; Polyporales; Polyporaceae
Description: partial large subunit ribosomal RNA
Rfam family: Eukaryotic large subunit ribosomal RNA
Source: RNAcentral